This 21-nucleotide non-coding RNA is filed under the name Caenorhabditis elegans. Lineage: Eukaryota; Metazoa; Nematoda; Chromadorea; Rhabditida; Rhabditidae. The record is from RNAcentral.
UGCCAUGAGCUCAAGUACCAA